AUGGGGAAGUGCUGGGAUUUAUUUCUCACUCUCUCAGCUGAGCUGUGCGACUGCAACAUCAAUAACUCCGUCAGACACGAAGAAUUUCCUCUUUUUGCUCCUGUUUUUAAACCAGGAAUCUUUUUACCCCCCCUCAGCUUCAGGGAAUUUGGGCAUAUCAGGGGACACGUUUUUGUCCCACCUGAUGCAGCUCUCACCGAAAGUCUGUGGACCAAGUUUCCCAUUCCUCGGAGGCAGCUCCCAGGACAAGGCAGAGCCGAGCAGCAGGAGCCAGGAGGAGCUGGAAGAGGAGUGGACACAUCGAGAGAGACUGAAGUGACUGGUGAGAACCUCCUGAGGAAAUCCAGCAAGGCCAAUUUGGGUUCUUCUCCUGUGCCUGGUGAGAACCUCCUGAGGAAAUCCAGCAAUUUGGGUUCUUCUCCUGUGCCUGGUGAGAACUUCCUGAGGAAAUCCAAAAAUGUCAGUUUGGGUUCUUCUCCUGUGCCUGGUGAGAACUUCCUGAGGAAAUCCACAAAUGUCAAUUUGGGUUCUUCUCCUGUGCCUGGUGAGAACUUCCUGAGGAAAUCCAGCAAGGCCAAUUUGGGUUCUUCUUCUGUGCCUCAGCUCCAAUCCCAGCCAGGCUCCCACUCCAAACCUGUCCUGCCUCCAAUCCCACCUGGACAGAAAAGCACCGACCCCUGAUGGUCACUUCCAUCCCAAUUUUUGUCACGCUGACACUUUCUAACCCCGCUUUUCAUCUCUUUCUCUUCAAAAAAGUAAAAUCUAUCAAAUAUUAUUGCUGAAUCCAUUUCUGAUUAACUCUCAAAAAAAAAAGAGAAAGAAGAAAAAAAAAGAGUUAUUUAUUUAUAACUUUAUUAAAAAGUAAUUUCUGUAUUUCCCAAAGCUAGAAAUUAUUUCCCUGGGCACUCACAGCUGGGAAAUGGUGGAGAGUUUUUUUUUCCUACCACGGAAUUGUAUCUUCCAUUAAUUUUAUAGAUUUAAUUGAGGUGUGGAAGCACCAGGGCUUCUGAUAAUAUUAUCUGUAUUGUAGGGCUGGUGAAUUAUUUAGAAGAGGGAUUUUGUGAAACGUUCAGAGGGAAACUGGGAGCAAAAACCAGUUCAGAGUUGGAUUCUUUUUUAAAAUAAAAUGUGGUUGAGUCACA
Molecule: long non-coding RNA, 1142 nt
Filed under: Cyanistes caeruleus (blue tit)
Lineage: Eukaryota; Metazoa; Chordata; Aves; Passeriformes; Paridae
Description: lncRNA (ENSCCEG00000018070.1)
Source: RNAcentral